Molecule: long non-coding RNA, 1588 nt
Organism: Mirounga angustirostris (Northern elephant seal)
Lineage: Eukaryota; Metazoa; Chordata; Mammalia; Carnivora; Phocidae
Exons: 2
Source: RefSeq, a predicted model, not a curated record
CUCAGGCGCAUGUGAAUUUCAAAUAUACACUGCAAUUUUGUAAUAUCUUGCACAGCUCCCAUGAACCGCUUGCUCAUUUCAAGGCAUUUCAGGGAAGGGGGGAGAAUGGAAUAUGGUCUCAUUCCUUAAGGAGGUUGGGUCUACUUUUGCCCUGGCAAGACUGAUUUCAGGGCAUGUUUUCUUCUGCAUAUCUUCCUCUGACAUAAUAGAUUAUGGGAUCUAAAAUCCGGAUCUCUUCAAAGCUGUUUAUGAGCAGGGUGUGUGCUCUGCUUUGAGGAUUAAGUGACUUCCAAAAUCUUUUCUGUCCGUCUUUCAGACUUCAAGAAUUCGCCAGAAAUGAAUAUUAAAAUCCCAAGAAAUGAAAUGAAGGUGUAGCAAUCGAACUUUUAAAAGAUUGUUGAUGAAUGUUAACGGGCAAGGACAGAGAGGAGCCUCUGCUUCCCGGUUUUCUCUGGAAUGAUACCGCGGGUGGGGCGGUCUUCCACAGCUUCUUGCAUUUUUAAAUUAUGAGAGGCUAUGGAGGAGAGCAGGAUCCACGUGAUGCUCAGCUGCCUCCCGAGAAGCCCAGAAGGGCGGCUGUGAUUGCAUUAGGACGACCAUGGUUUCUGGAAGGUCACACACGCAAAGCCAUGCAUGAACACUGAUGCUCUUAGACACGUUUUGACUUAGUGCCUCCUGCUGUGUAGGCCACAGUCUGAGACCCUUAAAGGAUAUAGAGAAAAUAAGGAAACAAUGUUUUGUUGGAAGACAGAAGACCCAGGCAAGGAGCAUCUGUGUGCCGUGGACCUCACCCCGGAGGGGUCAAAAGACCCAGUUUCCAUUUACAGCGAGGCCUCUGGAUGAAGAAAGGAGGCAUCAGACCCUACUGAGAGACUGCCAUGCAUCACCUGAGGAUCCAGGAACAUUCUACCAAACACAGCUCAGAUUACAGCAUGGCAGUGACCGCUGGUUGUCUAACCCCACAUCUGCUCUCCCCUUUGCCCCAAAUAAUUGAGCUCCUGGUUUUCAGGUGAACCCAGAAUAAUUCUCCCUAGAACAAUUCCAUAUUUGUUAGUCCCCCUUGCAGCUGGGCAUGGCCACCACCUGAGGAGGGCAGGGUCAUGAGUUAGGAAGGGCCUGAGUUAGCCACGAGAGGCAGCCGUGUGACCCUAGACUGCUUACCUCUGGAUUUCUUUUACAUGAGAGAAUUAAACAUUGCGUCCUUUGAGCCUCUGCUAUUGGCGGUUCCGGUUACACGCAACGAGCCCUAAUCAUAAUUAACCCUCGUCAGCUCCGGGCAGCAGAACGGAGGGUCUGCAAUGCAGCGGCCUUAACCACACCAUCAUUCGGGAUUUGUUGAACCUCCCCGUCCUCUCAGACCUUUAAAAAAAUUGAUCAGGCACAUGGCUAUCUAGCAGAUCUCUAGAAUUUAUUCAUCUUGCACAUGCAUUGAAUAGCGACUCCUCAUUUCCCUCCCUCCUCCGCCCCCAGCAAACACCGCUCUCUUCUCUUCUGUGAGUUUGACUAUUUUAGAUCACUCAUGGAAGUGGAGUCAUGCAGGAUUUGUCCUCUUCUGAUGCAGUGCAUGCAAUUUUAAUUUUCGCUUUCA